AACGAACGCUGGCGGCAUGCCUAACACAUGCAAGUCGAACGGGACCUUCGGGUCUAGUUGCGCACGUGUGCGUAACGCGUGGGAACCUGCCCUUAGGUUCGGAAUCACUCCCCGUCAGGGGUGCUAAUACCGGAUAAUGUCUUCGGACCAAGGAUUUCGCGCUUUUGGAUGGGCUCGCGGUUGAUUAGCUUGUUGGUGGGGUAAAGGCCUACCAAGGCGAUGAUCCGUAGCUGGUCUGAGAGGAUGAUCGGCCACACUGGGACUGCGAUCCGGCCCAGACUACUACGGGAGGCAGCGGUGGGGAAUAUUGCACAAUGGGCGGAAGCAUGAUGCAGCAACGCCGCGUGCGGGAUGACGGCCUUCGGGUUGUAAACCGCUUUCGCCUGUGACGAAGCGUGAGUGACGGUAAUGGGUAAAGAAGCACCGGCUAACUACGUG
This 438-nucleotide ribosomal RNA is filed under the name uncultured bacterium. RNAcentral's name for it is "partial 16S ribosomal RNA". It matches the Rfam family "Bacterial small subunit ribosomal RNA", at positions 29 to 507 of the family's 1533-position model. The record is from RNAcentral.